This 468-nucleotide ribosomal RNA is filed under the name uncultured bacterium. Its description in RNAcentral is "partial 16S ribosomal RNA". It matches the Rfam family "Bacterial small subunit ribosomal RNA", at positions 28 to 507 of the family's 1533-position model. The record is from RNAcentral.
GACGAACGCUGGCGGCGUGCUUAACACAUGCAAGUCGAACGGAAAGGCCCUGCUUGUGUGGGGUGCUCGAGUGGCGAACGGGUGAGUAACACGUGAGUAACCUGCCCUUGACUGUGGGAUAACUUCAGAAAACUGGGGCUAAUACCGGAUAGGAGCUCCUGCUGCAUGGGGGGGGUUGGAAAGUGUCGGCGGUUGGGGAUGGACUCGCGGCUUAUCAGCUUGUUGGUGGGGUAGUGGCUUACCAAGGCUUUGACGGGUAGCCGGCAUGGGAGGGUGACCGGCCACAUUGGGACUGAGGUACGGCCCAGACUCCUACGGGAGGCAGCAGUGGGGAAUAUUGCACAAUGGGCGGAAGCCUGAUGCAGCAGCGCCGCGGGCGGGAUGACGGCCUUCGGGUUGUAAACCGCUUUCGCCUGUGACGAAGCGUGAGUGACGGUAAUGGGUAAAGAAGCACCGGCUAACUACGUG